RNAcentral lists this ribosomal RNA (253 nucleotides) under uncultured bacterium. RNAcentral describes it as "partial 16S ribosomal RNA". It matches the Rfam family "Bacterial small subunit ribosomal RNA", at positions 524 to 776 of the family's 1533-position model. The record is from RNAcentral.
UACAGAGGGUGCGAGCGUUGUCCGGAAUCACUGGGCGUAAAGGGCGCGUAGGCGGCUCAGUAAGCGUGCGGUGAAAGCCCGGGGCUCAACCCCGGGUCGGCCGUGCGAACUGCAGAGCUGGAGCACUGUAGAGGCAGGUGGAAUUCCGGGUGUAGCGGUGGAAUGCGUAGAGAUCCGGAAGAACACCGGUGGCGAAGGCGGCCUGCUGGGCAGUGGCUGACGCUGAGGCGCGACAGCGUGGGGAGCAAACAGG